UACGUAGGGUGCGAGCGUUAAUCGGAAUUACUGGGCGUAAAGCGUGCGCAGGCGGUUCGUUGUGUCGGCGGUGAAAGCCCCGGGCUCAACCUGGGAAUGGCCGUUGAAACUGGCGAACUGGAGUGUGGCAGAGGGGGGUGGAAUUCCACGUGUAGCAGUGAAAUGCGUAGAGAUGUGGAGGAACACCGAUGGCGAAGGCAGCCCCCUGGGCUAACACUGACGCUCAUGCACGAAAGCGUGGGGAGCAAGCAGG
Molecule: ribosomal RNA, 253 nt
Filed under: uncultured bacterium
Lineage: Bacteria
Description: partial 16S ribosomal RNA
Rfam family: Bacterial small subunit ribosomal RNA
Source: RNAcentral